CCUACGGGCGGCAGCAGUGAGGAAUAUUGGUCAAUGGGCGAGAGCCUGAACCAGCCAAGUCGCGUGAGGGAGUACUGCCCUAUGGGUUGUAAACCUCUUUUGUCGGGGAGCAAAAGCCGGACGUGUCCGGCUGUGAGAGUACCCGAAGAAAAAGCAUCGGCUAACUCCGUGCCAGCAGCCGCGGUAAUACGGAGGAUGCGAGCGUUAUCCGGAUUUAUUGGGGUUAAAGGGUGCGCAGGCGGACUUUUAAGUCAGCGGUCAAAUCGUGGGGCUCAACCCCAUCCAGCCGUUGAAACUGGGGAUCUAGAGUGUGCGAGAGGUAUGCGGAAUGCGUGGUGUAGCGGUGAAAUGCAUAGAGAUCACGCAGAACCCCGAUUGCGAAGGCAGCAUACCGGUGCACAACUGACGCUCAGGCACGAAAGCGUGGGUAUCGAACAGGAUUAGAUACCCUGGUAGUC
This 458-nucleotide ribosomal RNA is filed under the name uncultured bacterium. RNAcentral describes it as "partial 16S ribosomal RNA". It matches the Rfam family "Bacterial small subunit ribosomal RNA", at positions 338 to 795 of the family's 1533-position model. The record is from RNAcentral.